GAAGAGUUUGAUCAUGGCUCAGAUUGAACGCUGGCGGCAGGCUUAACACAUGCAAGUCGGGCGGUAGCACAGGGGAGCUUGCUCCCCGGGUGACGAGCGGCGGACGGGUGAGUAAUGUCUGGGAAACUGCCUGAUGGAGGGGGAUAACUACUGGAAACGGUAGCUAAUACCGCAUAACGUCGCAAGACCAAAGAGGGGGACCUUCGGGCCUCUUGCCAUCAGAUGUGCCCAGAUGGGAUUAGCUAGUAGGUGGGGUAAUGGCUCACCUAGGCGACGAUCCCUAGCUGGUCUGAGAGGAUGACCAGCCACACUGGAACUGAGACACGGUCCAGACUCCUACGGGAGGCAGCAGUGGGGAAUAUUGCACAAUGGGCGCAAGCCUGAUGCAGCCAUGCCGCGUGUGUGAAGAAGGCCUUCGGGUUGUAAAGCACUUUCAGCGAGGAGGAAGGUGGUGANCCUUGAGGCGUGGCUUCCGGAGCUAACGCGUUAAAUCGACCGCCUGGGGAGUACGGCCGCAAGGUUAAAACUCAAAUGAAUUGACGGGGGCCCGCACAAGCGGUGGAGCAUGUGGUUUAAUUCGAUGCAACGCGAAGAACCUUACCUACUCUUGACAUCCAGAGAACUUAGCAGAGAUGCUUUGGUGCCUUCGGGAACUCUGAGACAGGUGCUGCAUGGCUGUCGUCAGCUCGUGUUGUGAAAUGUUGGGUUAAGUCCCGCAACGAGCGCAACCCUUAUCCUUUGUUGCCAGCGGUUCGGCCGGGAACUCAAAGGAGACUGCCAGUGAUAAACUGGAGGAAGGUGGGGAUGACGUCAAGUCAUCAUGGCCCUUACGAGUAGGGCUACACACGUGCUACAAUGGCGUAUACAAAGAGAAGCGACCUCGCGAGAGCAAGCGGACCUCAUAAAGUACGUCGUAGUCCGGAUUGGAGUCUGCAACUCGACUCCAUGAAGUCGGAAUCGCUAGUAAUCGUAGAUCAGAAUGCUACGGUGAAUACGUUCCCGGGCCUUGUACACACCGCCCGUCACACCAUGGGAGUGGGUUGCAAAAGAAGUAGGUAGCUUAACCUUCGGGAGGGCGCUUACCACUUUGUGAUUCAUGACUGGGGUGAAGUCGUAACAAGGUAACCGUAGGGGAACCUGCGGUUG
This 1146-nucleotide ribosomal RNA is filed under the name Serratia marcescens BIDMC 50. Its description in RNAcentral is "bacterial SSU rRNA". It matches the Rfam family "Bacterial small subunit ribosomal RNA". The record is from RNAcentral. Lineage: Bacteria; Pseudomonadati; Pseudomonadota; Gammaproteobacteria; Enterobacterales; Yersiniaceae.